Molecule: RNase P RNA, 417 nt
Filed under: Corynebacterium aquatimens
Lineage: Bacteria; Bacillati; Actinomycetota; Actinomycetes; Mycobacteriales; Corynebacteriaceae
Description: Bacterial RNase P class A
Rfam family: Bacterial RNase P class A
About the family: Ribonuclease P (RNase P) is a ubiquitous endoribonuclease, found in archaea, bacteria and eukarya as well as chloroplasts and mitochondria. Its best characterised activity is the generation of mature 5'-ends of tRNAs by cleaving the 5'-leader elements of precursor-tRNAs. Cellular RNase Ps are ribonucleoproteins.
Source: Rfam by way of RNAcentral
UGAGUCGGCCGGGUGAUCGCGGCGAAUGUGGACUGCGCGCGUAUGCGGGCAAGCACGGGUCGAGGAAAGUCCGGACUCCGCACGGCACGGUGGUUGUUAACGGCAACCCGGGGUGACCCGCGGGAAAGUGCAACAGAGAGUAGACCGCCUUCACCGCGUGCGGUGGAGGUAAGGGUGAAAGGGUGCGGUAAGAGCGCACCGGCGGGUGUGGUGACACAUCCGGCCAGGUAAACCCCACCGGGAGCAAGGCAAGAGCCCCUGCCCAAAAAGGCAGGGGUUGUCGGACGCUAGUAGGCUGCCCGCCGAAGUCCGAAGGUAGCUGCUUGAGGCACCCAGCAAUGGGUGUCCUAGAUGGAUGAUCGCCGCCCGCAACAUACGUUGCGGGUACAGAAUCCGGCUUACGUGCCGGCUCAUUCG